This 589-nucleotide ribosomal RNA is filed under the name uncultured bacterium. Its description in RNAcentral is "partial 16S ribosomal RNA". It matches the Rfam family "Bacterial small subunit ribosomal RNA", at positions 355 to 1376 of the family's 1533-position model. The record is from RNAcentral.
UGGGGAAUAUUGGACAAUGGGCGCAAGCCUGAUCCAGCAAUGCCGCGUGUGUGAAGAAGGCCUUCGGGUUGUAAAGCACUUUUAUCAGGAGCGAAACGCUGUCGGCUAAUACCCGGCGGAACUGACGGUACCUGAGGAAUAAGCACCGGCUAACUUCGUGCCAGCAGCCGCGGUAAUACGAAGGGUGCAAGCGUUAAUCGGAAUUACUGGGCGUAAAGCGUGCGUAGGCGGUUUCUUAAGUCUGCUGUGAAAUCCCCGGGCUCAACCUGGGAAUGGCAGCGGAUACUGGGAGGCUAGAGUGUGUCAGAGGGUGGUGGAAUUCCCGGUGUAGCGGUGAAAUGCGUAGAGAUCGGGAGGAACAUCAGUGGCGAAGGCGGCCACCUGGGACAACACUGACGCUGAGGCACGAAAGCGUGGGGAGCAAACAGGAUUAGAUACCCUGGUAGUCCACGCCCUAAAACGAUGCGAACUGGAUGUUGGUCUCAACUCGGAGAUCAGUGUCGAAGCUAACGCGUUAAGUUCGCCGCCUGGGGAGUACGGUCGCAAGACUGAAACUCAAAUGAAUUGACGGGGUCAUAGCUGUUUCCUG